This 253-nucleotide ribosomal RNA is filed under the name uncultured bacterium. Its description in RNAcentral is "partial 16S ribosomal RNA". It matches the Rfam family "Bacterial small subunit ribosomal RNA", at positions 524 to 776 of the family's 1533-position model. The record is from RNAcentral.
UACGUAGGGUGCGAGCGUUAAUCGGAAUUACUGGGCGUAAAGCGUGCGCAGGCGGUUUUGUAAGCCAGAUGUGAAAUCCCCGGGCUUAACCUGGGAAUGGCAUUUGGGACUGCAAGGCUUGAGUUUGGCAGAGGAGACUGGAAUUCCUGGUGUAGCAGUGAAAUGCAUAGAUAUCAGGAGGAAUACCGAUGGCGAAGGCAGGUCUCUGGGCUAGAACUGACGCUCAUGCACGAAAGCGUGGGGAGCAAACAGG